Molecule: ribosomal RNA, 495 nt
Filed under: uncultured bacterium
Lineage: Bacteria
Description: partial 16S ribosomal RNA
Rfam family: Bacterial small subunit ribosomal RNA
Source: RNAcentral
GAUGAACGCUGGCGGCGUGCCUAAUACAUGCAAGUAGAACGCUGAAGGAGGAGCUUGCUCUUCUGGAUGAGUUGCGAACGGGUGAGUAACGCGUAGGUAACCUGCCUGGUAGCGGGGGAUAACUAAUGGAAACGAUAGCUAAUACCGCAUGACAACAGUUAUUGCAUGAUAACUGUUUAAAAGGGGCAACUGCUCCACUACCAGAUGGACCUGCGUUGUAUUAGCUAGUUGGUGAGGUAACGGCUCACCAAGGCGACGAUACAUAGCCGACCUGAGAGGGUGAUCGGCCACACUGGGACUGAGACACGGCCCAGACUCCUACGGGAGGCAGCAGUAGGGAAUCUUCGGCAAUGGACGGAAGUCUGACCGAGCAACGCCGCGUGAGUGAAGAAGGUUUUCGGAUCGUAAAGCUCGGUUGUAAGAGAAGAACGAGUGUGAGAGUGGAAAGUUCACACUGUGACGGUAUCUUACCAGAAAGGGACGGCUAACUACGUG